This 253-nucleotide ribosomal RNA is filed under the name uncultured bacterium. RNAcentral describes it as "partial 16S ribosomal RNA". It matches the Rfam family "Bacterial small subunit ribosomal RNA", at positions 524 to 776 of the family's 1533-position model. The record is from RNAcentral.
UACAGAGGUCUCAAGCGUUGUUCGGAUUCAUUGGGCGUAAAGGGUGCGUAUGUGGCGCUGUAAGUCAGGCGUGAAAUUUCGGAGCUUAACUCCGAAACUGCAUUUGAUACUGCGGUGCUUGAGGACUGGAGAGGAGACUGGAAUUUACGGUGUAGCAGUGAAAUGCGUAGAGAUCGUAAGGAAGACCAGUGGCGAAGGCGGGUCUCUGGACAGUUCCUGACACUGAGGCACGAAGGCCAGGGGAGCAAACGGG